AAAUUGAAGAGUUUGAUCAUGGCUCAGAUUGAACGCUGGCGGCAGGCCUAACACAUGCAAGUCGAACGGUAACAGAAAGCAGCUUGCUGCUUUGCUGACGAGUGGCGGACGGGUGAGUAAUGUCUGGGAAACUGCCUGAUGGAGGGGGAUAACUACUGGAAACGGUAGCUAAUACCGCAUAACGUCGCAAGACCAAAGAGGGGGACCUUCGGGCCUCUUGCCAUCGGAUGUGCCCAGAUGGGAUUAGCUUGUUGGUGGGGUAACGGCUCACCAAGGCGACGAUCUCUAGCUGGUCUGAGAGGAUGACCAGCCACACUGGAACUGAGACACGGUCCAGACUCCUACGGGAGGCAGCAGUGGGGAAUAUUGCACAAUGGGCGCAAGCCUGAUGCAGCCAUGCCGCGUGUAUGAAGAAGGCCUUCGGGUUGUAAAGUACUUUCAGCGGGGAGGAAGGGAGUAAAGUUAAUACCUUUGCUCAUUGACGUUACC
Molecule: ribosomal RNA, 489 nt
Filed under: Escherichia coli
Lineage: Bacteria; Pseudomonadati; Pseudomonadota; Gammaproteobacteria; Enterobacterales; Enterobacteriaceae
Description: bacterial SSU rRNA
Rfam family: Bacterial small subunit ribosomal RNA
Source: RNAcentral